Molecule: ribosomal RNA, 524 nt
Filed under: uncultured Nitrospirota bacterium
Lineage: Bacteria; Pseudomonadati; Nitrospirota
Description: uncultured Nitrospirae bacterium partial 16S ribosomal RNA
Rfam family: Bacterial small subunit ribosomal RNA
Source: RNAcentral
GCACAAGUGGGVYGAAAAGCCUUGACGGCRKGCGACCGCCCGCGUGGGGGGAUGGAAGGUUCUUBCGGAUGCCGCGUGGGGGAUGAAGGUCUUCGGAUUGUMAACCCCUUUCGGGAGGGAAGAUGGAAUGGGGUAACCCAUUGCGGACGSUMCCUCCAAGAAGCAGCCACGGCUAAYUUCGUGCCAGCAGCCMCGGUAAUACGAAGGUUGGCAAGCGUUAUKCGGAUUUASUGGGCGUACRGGSAGCGUAGGCGGUUCGGUAAGCCCUUURUGAAAUCUSCAGGCUUAACCUGGAACAGUCGGAGNGGACUGCCGGGCUAGAGGACGGGAGAGGAGCGCGGAAUUCCCGGUGUNGCGGUGAAAUGCGUAGAGAUCGGGAGGAAGGCCGGUGGCGAAGGCGGCGCUSUGGAACGUUUCUGACGCUGAGGCUCGAAAGCGUGGGGAGCAAACAGGAUUAGAUACCCUGGUAGUCCACGCCUUAAACUAUGAAUACUAAGUGKCGGCGGGUUACCGCCGGUGCCGCA